AUACAUACAAUAUACAUACAUGACUUUAAAUUUAAGAUAAUAACUUAGAAAUAUUCUGAGUUUGCUCAAACAUUCUCCUAAUCAUACAAGCUCUCAUACUCAACAAGGUAAAUCAAAAUAUCGCGGUUUAUUAGGUUAAUCAUCUCUCAUUUUUUAUAUGCUAACCUAACUCAUAUUGCCAAAAUGAUUCCAUAGCAAUAUUGGAUUCUGAUUUCAAUGAUCCACCAAUUUCUGUCAGUAAACCCGAUACUGUUCCUGAGUGUUUGAACUUCCAUCUUAAAACUCUUGAGUGGCGAGGCUAUCUAGGAAGACCGGAAUGACCUGAGGAUCGUGAAGGAGUUAUAAAUCUAUGUCUAAGGCUUCAACUUAGUGUCAGCUUGUAAUUCAACCCCAUCAUAGUCCAUAGAAUGUUUGUUUCAAAUCCCAAAAAUAUAUAUACUUUUGAUCAUGUGAAUGUAUAGGUCCCCAUGUUAACGCUAAAAAUUGUUAGUGUAAAGCCUUUUUAAUUCUAUUUAAGUCUGCAUCCGAAACAGAGUAUCCGACUAAAACAGAGGAAUCUCUUUGAUGACAAGAAAAUACAAAAAUCAGAGAAGUCAAACUUUUAUAAAUGUGUAUGUAAUAGUAGACGACGUACCUUGUUAGUCAAGUUUCGUUACUUUUAGGUCUACUAUUCAAAG
Molecule: long non-coding RNA, 677 nt
Filed under: Capsella rubella
Lineage: Eukaryota; Viridiplantae; Streptophyta; Magnoliopsida; Brassicales; Brassicaceae
Description: long non-coding RNA (CRUB_LNC001054)
Source: RNAcentral